Molecule: unclassified non-coding RNA, 352 nt
Filed under: soil metagenome
Description: partial contains 5.8S ribosomal RNA, internal transcribed spacer 2, and large subunit ribosomal RNA
Rfam family: 5.8S ribosomal RNA (bases 1-120)
Source: RNAcentral
GAUGAAGAACGCAGCGAAAUGUGAUAAGUAAUGUGAAUUGCAGAAUUCAGUGAAUCAUCGAAUCUUUGAACGCACAUUGCGCCCGCCAGUAUUCUGGCGGGCAUGCCUGUUCGAGCGUCAUUUCAACCCUCAGGCCCCCAGUGCCUGGUGUUGGGGAUCGGCCCAGCCUUCCUGUAAGGCCGCCGGCCCCGAAAUCUAGUGGCGGUCUCGCUGUAGUCCUCCUCUGCGUAGUAGCACAACCUCGCAGUUGGAACGCGGCGGUGGCCAUGCCGUUAAACACCCCACUUCUGAAAGUUGACCUCGGAUCAGGUAGGAAUACCCGCUGAACUUAAGCAUAUCAAUAAGCGGAGGA